Molecule: long non-coding RNA, 977 nt
Organism: Saimiri boliviensis boliviensis (Bolivian squirrel monkey)
Lineage: Eukaryota; Metazoa; Chordata; Mammalia; Primates; Cebidae
Source: RefSeq, a predicted model, not a curated record
UUCAUAAAAGCUUCACAAAAGACAGUUCUCUGUCCUGUUUAGAAAUAUGUGGACCUUUUUAAAGUAUCAGGUCUCUUCCCUGGCCUCUCAGACAUGGUACCAUUUCUAUUGGAGUCAAUAGGAUUCUAGAAUGAUGUGGUGCCUGACUAAAACCAUACUACCAGCUAUUCUAGGCUCUAGCUUGCAGACAGCAGAUCAUGGAACUUCUCAGCCUCCAUAAUCACAUCAAUCAAUUCCUUAUAGUACAAUAAGGCUUAUUUUAAUAAGCCCCUUCUGUUUCAGGUGAAGAAAUCCAAGUCCUGAUUGGUCAACUGACUUGGCCAAGCUCACACUGGUCUUUAGAGCCUGGCCUUCUGUCUCCCAGUACGAUCUCCAUUGAACCAUACCUCUCCUGAACCCUGGAAGCUGGAUAGCCCUGGAAUUUAGGAAAAUGAACUGAAGAGGACACACAGCACACAAUAAAAGGAGCCCUUUAUUGAUCUCAGGAAGAACUGAAGGUCUGUUGAAAAAGUGUGGGAAUCAGCUCAACAUACUAAUUUAUGUAUUAUUUAUGCACUUAAAGAAGCCUAGACUCCUGGCAAGAAAGAAAAAUGUGUGCACUGGAACUGCCAUCGUAUUCAACCCCAGCAUCCAGAGCAUUUCACGCAGGCACUGUGAAACCUCAUGGGGGAGAAUGGGAUACGGCAAGCAAGGUGGAAUUGGAAAUCAGCCUGGGUUUGAGCACCACCUCCAUCAUGAGACCAGGGGCAAACGACUGCACCUCUCUAGGCUUCAAUUUUCUCAUCUCCAAAAUAGAGAGAAAUGCCUGUUUGCAGGGUUAUUAUGAGAAUUAAAUGAGAAACGCAGUGCAUGAAUUUCGAAGUCAUUACAAAUGCCUGUUGUCAGUAUCCUGUGUGAGGAGGGGCGCAUGUGAAGCUUCUGGGUUUCUUGUCACAGAAGCCUUUCCUGACCGAAGACCCCAGUGGGAAGUGGCAACU